CCAGGCCCUAUGGGGCGCAGCAGGCGAGAAACCUUUGCAAUGUGCGCAAGCGCGACAAGGUUAAUCCGAGUGUUUCCUGUUAAAGGAAUCUUUUGUUAGUUCUAAAACCACUGAUGAAUAAGGGGUGGGCAAGUUCUGGUGUCAGCCGCCGCGGUAAAACCAGCACCUCAAGUGGUCAGGAGGAUUAUUGGGCCUAAAGCAUCCGUAGCCGGUUCUGUAAGUUUCCGGUUAAAUCCACUAGCUCAACUAAUGGGCUGCCGGAAAUACUGCAGAACUAGGGAGUGGGAGAGGUAGACGGUACUCGGGAGGAAGGGGUAAAAUCCUUUGAUCUCUUGAUGACCACCUGUGGCGAAGGCGGUCUACCAGAACACGUUCGACGGUGAGGGAUGAAAGCUGGGGGAGCAAACCGGAUUAGAUACCCGGGUAGUCCCAGCUGUAAACGAUGCAGACUCGGUGAUGCACUGGCUUAUGGCCAGUGCAGUGCCUCAGGGAAGCCGUUAAGUUUGCCGCCUGGGAAGUACGUACGCAAGUAUGAAACUUAAAGGAAUUGGCGGGGGAGCUUAACAGGGGGUGAAGCCUGCGGUUCAAUUGG
This 592-nucleotide ribosomal RNA is filed under the name uncultured archaeon. Its description in RNAcentral is "bacterial SSU rRNA". It matches the Rfam family "Archaeal small subunit ribosomal RNA", at positions 316 to 909 of the family's 1478-position model. The record is from RNAcentral.